RNAcentral lists this ribosomal RNA (253 nucleotides) under uncultured bacterium. RNAcentral's name for it is "partial 16S ribosomal RNA". It matches the Rfam family "Bacterial small subunit ribosomal RNA", at positions 524 to 776 of the family's 1533-position model. The record is from RNAcentral.
UACGUAGGGUGCAAGCGUUGUCCGGAAUUAUUGGGCGUAAAGAGCCCGUAGGCGGUUUGUCGCGUCUGCUGUGAAAACUCGGGGCUUAACUCCGGGCCUGCAGUGGGUACGGGCAGACUAGAGUGCGGUAGGGGAGAUUGGAAUUCCUGGUGUAGCGGUGGAAUGCGCAGAUAUCAGGAGGAACACCGACGGCGAAGGCAGGUCUCUGGGCCACUACUGACGCUGAGAAGCGAAAGCAUGGGGAGCGAACAGG